UAAUAAUAAUAAAAUAAUAAAACUUUAUUUAUAACCCGCCACCAUCUCCCCAAUGGGGACUCGGGGCGGCUUACAUGGGGCCAUGCCCAGACACGAUACAAUAUAACAAAAUAAAACAAUAUAUCAUAACACAAUAUAAUAGUACAAAAAUAAUCAUAUACAUUACAACGCAAAUCAGAGCAGACAGGGCGGGCCACAUGAACAUUUAAUUAAAAACUCGGGAGAGAGAGGCAUAUAAAUAAAGAGAACAGGGGUAUAAGACGGAACAGUCCAAACAGUCCAAAGGAUAGAAUCCCAGGGGAGUAAUCAAGAGGUAUAUAACAUUUACUCCCCGAAGGCACAUCGAAAAAGCCACGUUUUUAGAUCUUUCUUAAAAGCCAAUAAGGUGGGGGCUUGCCUGAUCUCAGAGGGCAAUGAAUUCCACAGUCGGGGGGCCACAGCAGAAAAGGCCCUCUCUCUCGUUCCCACUAGACGGGCCUGGGAUAGAGGCAGUGGCGAAAGAAGGGCCUCCCCGGAUGAGCGGAGGGAUCGAAUAGGUUUAUAAUAGGAGAUACGGUCACGAAGGUAGGUGGGUCCCAAACCGUUUAGGGCCUUAUAAAUGAUGGUAUUCACCUUGAAUUGGGACCGGAAGGUGAACGGCAGCCAGUGGAGCUCUUUGAACAGGGGAGUAGAUCUCUCCCUGUAGCUCGCCCCUGUAAUUAAUCUGAUAUUUUAAUAUUUGUAUUCCAAUGUUGAUGCAUGUGCUAAAACAAACACGAAAAGAGACAUUAAAAUAUUUAAUAAUGCCAUAUUUCAAGGCUGGAUAGAUUCAGUAUUUAAGUGUUGGCAAGAUCUCUUUGCAAGUCUUUUGAUCUGAGCUCUGCUUUAGCAAAGUUUCUCUUAAUUAAUUUGCAGUGUUGCUGAGAUACUUAUUCGAAAGGGUUCUGCUUGGAACUAGCAACUCAGAUUCUGCUUGGAUUAAGAUGUUGAAAGAAACUGCUUGAUCAAAGCAAAAGCAAAAGAAAAAUCAGCUUCCUGAACUAGAAGGAGGAAAGGAAAAGUACCAUGUGAAGGAAAAGUACCAUUUUCAAUCAGGAAGCAAGGCAAGCUCAGUUUAUAAUGAACAGGAUGGGGAAAGAGGUGGAGGUGAAUCUCCAUGUGAUGAUCAAAGCAACUCAGGAGAAUGAGGAAGAUGAAGUUGCCCCUGGACCAUAACAAUUCUGAGACGCUCCAGGCAUUGAAAGCACCUCACUACCUCCACUCAAUAAUUGUUGGUGCAGAGCCCAGUCAAACUGGUAUAAGGAAAAUGUGAUUGCUGAACUGGGCAGUGCCAUAACCAAGGAAACCAAACAAACAGUGAAAUUUCUAAUUGUGUCUGUGUCAUGCUGAGCAGGCUUGUUUGCUGCCUCAAGGCAAAUUUCUGCCAUGGAGCCAAGAGGCAGGAAGACAGAUAAGGCAGAAUCGUUCUACUGGGACCAAGUUAUUCACUCCGAGUUCCAGAUUUAACCCAAGAAAGCAUGAGCAGUUGUUUAAUGAGAAAAAUCCAGCCAUGGGACUCAGACAGCCUUGUGCUAUCUUACAAAUUCCCUAUAUCAGCAACCACACCAAGGUUACUAUUAUUAUUGAUGAUAAAUGAAGUGGUUGUGUGCCUUCAAGUUCUUUUCCGAUUUAUAGUUGGCUACUCUAAGUCAAACCUGUCACAGGGAUUCUUGCAAGAUUUGUUCAGAGGGGUUUUUUGCCACUGCCUUCUUCUGAAACUGAAACGGCAUGACUUCCCCAGUGGGUUUCCAUGGCUGAACACUGAAUUCAACACUCAAACCCCUACGCCACACUCAAACCAUGUUGGUUUCCUUAAAUAGGUAUGCCUCAUUUAAAAAAGCUUCAGACAAGAAGUUCAAACAUUCUAGUGAUCUUGGGGAAAUUCACUUCUGUAAAGCUCAUCUGACCUGGUUGUUUUAUUUCACAUAUGCAUUGUGCUAGUUUUGAAUAAAAGGACUGCUGAAAUGUGCUGAACUGGUCUGCCAUUUUUGAAGUAUAAGAACCUAUCCCUAUUCUUUCCAUUUUAUUUGUGUCUCUAGUGCUACAUUUUAAGUUAAAGAAAGAAUCCUAGGAACACAUCCACUUUUAAACUGAGGCAUACCUGCAUGUACUAAGCCAGAGGCAGCAGAGAAGCAACAAGUUGCUGUAUGUCAGCAUGAGGGGGAUAACUUAAAUUCCUAAUGCAGCCUGGAACAAAAAGCAUGAUUUCUUCCAGGAGGCAUGACAUUGCAUUUCUAAAAAAGAACUUUCCCAAGCUCUAGUAAUAAUGCAUGAGCGUAUAUCAUGCAAUGCAAUAUACUUCAGCAUAUGGGACUUAAUGAUGGAAGGGGGCAGCAUGGGUCAGUAAGAGAAUGCAUGCAGUACAUGGAGAAAGCCCCAACCUGAGUCUCUUCCUUAUAUUGCUAAAAGAUAAGUAGAUGGGAAACUUACUUCCAAGACACAGGAGGCGAAGUCUGCUGAUAAUAAAACCGGACUAGGAAUCGGAAGAAGGUAGAUCUGGCUCUAUUAAUAAAUCUCUGGCUGAUUUCUGACUUCCAAAUGUUUAACAAUAGCAGCAAUACAAUGAACCUUGUUCUCCCUUUCCUCUCUGCCAAACUAUAUUACAAAAAUAAAUAAAAACUAUUAAGGUAA
Anolis carolinensis (green anole) is the source of this 2649-nucleotide long non-coding RNA. RefSeq lists it as uncharacterized. The transcript is spliced from 2 exons. The record is from RefSeq and is a predicted model, not a curated record. Lineage: Eukaryota; Metazoa; Chordata; Lepidosauria; Squamata; Anolidae.